GAUGAACGCUGGCGGCGUGCCUAAUACAUGCAAGUCGAGCGAACAGACGAGGAACUUGUACCUCUUGCAUUAGCAGCGGACGGGUGAGUAACACGUGGAGAACCUACCUAUAAGAGUGGGAUAACUUCGGGAAACCGGUGCUAAUACCGGAUAAAAUAUUUAACCACGAGGUUCAAUAGUGAAAGACGCAUUUGCUUUAACCAAUAAAGAGAUCGCCUCGGAUUUAGCUGGUUGGUAAGGUAACGGCUUCCCAAGGCGACGUACCGUAGCCGACCUGAGAGGUGGAUCGCCCACAUGGGACCUGAGAACCGGCCCAGAUUCCUACGGGAGGCGGCAGUGGGGAAUCUUCGGCAAUGGGCGAAGGCCGGACGGAGAAACGCCGCUUGAGGGAUGAGGGUUUCCGGAUCGUAAAACUCUGUUAUUAGGGAAGAACAAAUGUGUAAGUAACUGUUCACGUAUUGACGGUACCUAAUCAGAAAGCGACGGCUAACUACGUG
Molecule: ribosomal RNA, 497 nt
Filed under: uncultured bacterium
Lineage: Bacteria
Description: partial 16S ribosomal RNA
Rfam family: Bacterial small subunit ribosomal RNA
Source: RNAcentral